CCUACGGGUGGCAGCAGUGGGGAAUAUUGGGCAAUGGGCGCAAGCCUGACCCAGCAACGCCGCGUGAAGGAAGAAGGCCCUCGGGUUGUAAACCUCUUUUGUCGGGGAGCAAAAGCCGGACGUGUCCGGCUGUGAGAGUACCCGAAGAAAAAGCAUCGGCUAACUCCGUGCCAGCAGCCGCGGUAAUACGGAGGAUGCGAGCGUUAUCCGGAUUUAUUGGGUUUAACGGGUGCGCAGGCGGAUUUUUAAGUCAGCGGUAAAAUCGUGGGGCUCAACCCCAUCCAGCCGUUGAAACUGGGGAUCUAGAGUGUGCGAGAGGUAUGGGGAAUGCGUGGUGUAGCGGUGAAAUGCAUAGAUAUCACGCAGAACCCCGAUUGCGAAGGCAGCAUACCGGUGCACAACUGACGCUCAGGCACGAAAGCGUGGGUAUCGAACAGGAUUAGAUACCCCAGUAGUC
Molecule: ribosomal RNA, 457 nt
Filed under: uncultured bacterium
Lineage: Bacteria
Description: partial 16S ribosomal RNA
Rfam family: Bacterial small subunit ribosomal RNA
Source: RNAcentral